This 366-nucleotide unclassified non-coding RNA is filed under the name Hevea brasiliensis (rubber tree). Lineage: Eukaryota; Viridiplantae; Streptophyta; Magnoliopsida; Malpighiales; Euphorbiaceae. The record is from RNAcentral.
AAAAAAAAGAUGGAACUAAGCAGAGGAUCUAUCUAAACCCCGGUCAGCAGACCAUCCCCGUACACCCAAACCCCUUGCUCAAAUCCAGAAAUAGAAUCCAAAUAAAGCACAAGAGAAAGUAAACUACGAACAUCAAACCAUAAUUGAAAACUUGCAUAAUACUUAGCUACCCUUGCUAACGAAUGAGCCGCUAAGUUGGCGAGUCUACUAGUACAAUGGAAGGACAAGCUCAAAAAACUGUUACGAAGAGUUAAACAAUCUUGAAUUAAACUGCCCACCUCAGAAAAAUUCUCUUCAACCGAUGAUAGACCAGUAAAGAGAGACAAGCAGUACAUCUUGACAUCAACAUGAUCCAAUCCUUGAUUG